Molecule: long non-coding RNA, 219 nt
Organism: Eurytemora carolleeae
Lineage: Eukaryota; Metazoa; Arthropoda; Copepoda; Calanoida; Temoridae
Exons: 2
Source: RefSeq, a predicted model, not a curated record
AUUUGAAAUGAUGUACAAAAAAAACAUUUUUAAUGAUUUUUUUUUUCAGGAAAAUGUUAAAUGUCUCGCAGGCUUUGGUUUUCAAAAUAAAGCCAAGACUGAGUAGAAAUAGGACUGAUGUUGGACCCUUGAAACGGAAGAGUGAAGAUUGAUGCUGCAGAAAAUUGAAGAGAAAGGAAUAUUGCAGAAAAUUUAAAAAUAAAAAAUAAAAUAAAAAUG